CCUACGGGGGGCAGCAGUGAGGAAUAUUGGUCAAUGGACGAGAGUCUGAACCAGCCAAGUAGCGUGAAGGAUGACUGCCCUAUGGGUUGUAAACUUCUUUUAUAUGGGAAUAAAAUGUUCCACGUGUGGGAUUUUGUAUGUACCCUAUGAAUAAGGAUCGGCUAACUCCGUUCCAGCAGCCGCGGUAAUACGGAGGAUACGAGAGUUAUCCGGAUUUAUUGGGUUUAAAGGGAGCGUAGGUGGAUUGUUAAGUCAGUUGUGAAAGUUUGCGGCUCAACCGUAAAAUUGCAGUUGAAACUGGCAGUCUUGAGUACAGUAGAGGUGGGCGGAAUUCGUGGUGUAGCGGUGAAAUGCUUAGAUAUCACGAAGAACUCCGAUUGCGAAGGCAGUUCACUGGACUGCAACUGACACUGAGGCUCGAAAGUGUGGGUAUCAAACAGGAUUAGAUACCCCAGUAGUC
Molecule: ribosomal RNA, 460 nt
Filed under: uncultured bacterium
Lineage: Bacteria
Description: partial 16S ribosomal RNA
Rfam family: Bacterial small subunit ribosomal RNA
Source: RNAcentral